GUGGGGAAUAUUCCGCAAUGGACGAAAGUCUGACGGAGCAACGCCGCGUGAGUGAUGAAGGUUUUCGGACUGUAAAGCUCUGUUGUUUAGGACGAAAGUGCCUGUUGCGAACAGUUACAGGUAUUGACGGUACUAAACGAGGAAGCCACGGCUAACUACGUGCCAGCAGCCGCGGUAAUACGUAGGUGGCAAGCGUUGUCCGGAAUUAUUGGGCGUAAAGAGCAUGUAGGCGGAGAUUUAAGUCUGUUGUGAAAAUGCGGGGCUCAACCCCGUAUUGCGAUGGAAACUGAAUUUCUUGAGUGCAGGAGAGGAAAGGGGAAUUCCCAGUGUAGCGGUGAAAUGCGUAGAUAUUGGGAGGAACACCAGUGGCGAAGGCGCCUUUCUGGACUGUGUCUGACGCUGAGAUGCGAAAGCCAGGGUAGCGAACGGGAUUAGAUACCCGUGUAGUCC
Molecule: ribosomal RNA, 450 nt
Filed under: uncultured bacterium
Lineage: Bacteria
Description: partial 16S ribosomal RNA
Rfam family: Bacterial small subunit ribosomal RNA
Source: RNAcentral